RNAcentral lists this ribosomal RNA (489 nucleotides) under uncultured bacterium. RNAcentral's name for it is "bacterial SSU rRNA". It matches the Rfam family "Bacterial small subunit ribosomal RNA", at positions 791 to 1275 of the family's 1533-position model. The record is from RNAcentral.
UAGUCCACGCCGUAAACGAUGAAUACUAGGUGUCGGGAGGGUUGCCUUUCGGUGUCGCAGUUAACGCGUUAAGUUCUCCGCCUGGGGAGUACGCCGGCAACGGUAAAACUCAAAGGAAUUGACGGGGACCCGCACAAGCGGUGGAGCAUGUGGUUUAAUUCGAUGCAACGCGAAGAACCUUACCUGCCCUCGACAUACUCGGAACUUUCCAGAGAUGGAUUGGUGCCUUCGGGAACCGAGAUACAGGUGCUGCAUGGCUGUCGUCAGCUCGUGUCGUGAGAUGUUGGGUUAAGUCCCGCAACGAGCGCAACCCUUAUCCUUAGUUGCCAGCGAUUCGGUCGGGAACUCUAGGGAGACUGCCGGUGACAAACCGGNGGAAGGUGGGGACACGUCAAGGUCAUCAUGGGCCCUUAUGGGGCAGGGGGCUACACACGUGCUACAAUGGGCGAGUACAGAGGGGCUGCCAGCUAGCAAUAGUCAGCCAAUCCC